Molecule: ribosomal RNA, 253 nt
Filed under: uncultured bacterium
Lineage: Bacteria
Description: partial 16S ribosomal RNA
Rfam family: Bacterial small subunit ribosomal RNA
Source: RNAcentral
UACGUAGGGUGCGAGCGUUGUCCGGAUUCACUGGGUGUAAAGGGUCCGCAGGCGGGUUGGUUAGUCGUUGGUGAAAUUCCAGAGCUUAACUCUGGAACUGCCGACGAUACUGCCGAUCUUGAGUACGGAAGAGGAAGAUGGAAUUCCUGGUGUAGCGGUGAAAUGCGUAGAUAUCAGGAAGAACACCGGUGGCGAAGGCGGUCUUCUGGUCCGUUACUGACGCUCAGGGACGAAAGCGUGGGGAGCAAACAGG